GGGGGGGGGGGGGGGGGGGGGGGGGGGGGGGGGGGGGGGGGGGGGGGCCGGGCGGGGGGGGGGUGGGCGGGUGGCGAACGGGUGAGUGAGACGUGGGUAACGUGCCCUUGGCUGUGGGGUGACUUCAGGAAACUGGGGCGAAUACCGGAUAGGAGCUCCUGCGGCAUGGUGGGGGUUGGCAAGUUUCGGCGGUUGGGGAUGGACUCGCGGCUUAUCAGCGUGUUGGUGGGGUAGUGGCUUACCAAGGCUUUGAUGGGUAGCCGGCCUGAGAGGGUGACCGGCCACAUUGGGACUGAGAUACGGCCCAGACUCCUACGGGAGGCAGCAGUGGGGAAUAUUGCACAAUGGGCGGAAGCCUGAUGCAGCAACGCCGCGUGCGGGAUGACGGCCUUCGGGUUGUAAACCGCUUUCGCCUGUGACGAAGCGUGAGUGACGGUAAUGGGUAAAGAAGCACCGGCUAACUACGUG
This 468-nucleotide ribosomal RNA is filed under the name uncultured bacterium. RNAcentral's name for it is "partial 16S ribosomal RNA". The stretch from base 52 to 468 matches the Rfam family "Bacterial small subunit ribosomal RNA", at positions 39 to 507 of the family's 1533-position model. The record is from RNAcentral.